Long non-coding RNA from Panicum virgatum (switchgrass), 463 nucleotides. RefSeq lists it as uncharacterized. Lineage: Eukaryota; Viridiplantae; Streptophyta; Magnoliopsida; Poales; Poaceae. The record is from RefSeq and is a predicted model, not a curated record. The transcript has 3 exons.
GCACAGGCGUGGCCGGGCCGCUGCGGCGGAGACGGACACGGGCGCGAGCAGGCGCAGCUUGGCCGCAGCGGCAGUGACCCCAGCAUGAGCAGGCGCAGCUAGGCGGCUUCAGCGUGGACCCACGCGGCCGCAGCCAGGCCCGUCGGCGUGGACGCGUGCGGCGCGGCCAGGCGUGGCCCGGCCACGGCGGCGGAGACACGCGAGGGCGCAGACAGGCCGCGGCGGUGCAGAUGGACAUGGGCGCGGACGCGGUGCGGCCACGGCGGCGGAGGCCCCGGCGGCCGUUUCGCGCGGGCCCCUGCAGUCAGGCGAGUGGGCAGUGGUUCAAUAGCUGUUCACACCAAGGAGAGAAAGUGGGAAUUGCCUCGCCUCUGGCUGCAGCACUGCUCGGCAAGGCUAGGAAGGUGUUCGGUGGUGGGUAGAGCCUCUGAAUAGGUCUGCAGAUGCUUGUUUUAGCCACUGG